CAGUAGCCACGGUAAUACGGAGGGAGCUAGCGUUGUUCGGAAUUACUGGGCGUAAGGCGCGCGUAGGCGGUUACUCAAGUCAGAGGUGAAAGCCCGGGGCUCAACCCCGGAACUGCCUUUGAAACUAGGUGACUAGAAUCUUGGAGAGGUCAGUGGAAUUCCGAGUGUAGAGGUGAAAUUCGUAGAUAUUCGGAAGAACACCAGUGGCGAAGGCGACUGACUGGACAAGUAUUGACGCUGAGGUGCGAAAGCGUGGGGAGCAAACAGGAUUAGAUACCCCAGUAGUCCCUGUCUCUUAUAC
This 301-nucleotide ribosomal RNA is filed under the name uncultured bacterium. RNAcentral describes it as "partial 16S ribosomal RNA". It matches the Rfam family "Bacterial small subunit ribosomal RNA", at positions 509 to 807 of the family's 1533-position model. The record is from RNAcentral.